CCCCGAAAAUAUAUAAUCAGUAACCCUAGCCAUCACUGUUUCUGCUUUCACUCGCACAUUUCUACUUGUCAAUUGCACCGCCCCACUGUUUCUGGCAGUCCGUUCUUGAACGACAUAGUACAACGACGACCACCGCGCUCACCGCGCUUCUCCCCGUCCUUUGUGGUCCAGGAAAAGAGCAGCUACCUCUCUCUUAGUUGCUUUGCCAAGGCAUCGGAACUUGUUGACGUUGAAGUGUAUUAUUGAGGCACAAUGGGUUUUGAUAUUGAGUGCAUAAUUGACAUUCACACUUAUCCUGGGGAAUACUUUUGUCCAGUUUGUCGAACACUUGUGUACCCGAGUGAAGCAUUUCAGUCACAAUGCACUCAUCUAUAUUGCAAACCUUGCUUGGCACACAUCGCAAAUGGUAGCAGGGCCUGCCCUUAUGAUGGAUACUUGGUGACAGAAUCAGAUUCUAAGCCGCUAAUGGACUCGAAUAAAGCACUGGCAGAAAAUAUUGGCAAAGUUAAGGUGCAUUGUCUCUACUUCCGAAGUGGAUGCUCAUGGGAGGGUACGCUGUCUGAUUGCUCCUCGCAUUGUGCUGGGUGUUCCUUUGGAAAUUCACCUGUUAUAUGCAACAGAUGUGGAAUCCAAAUUGUGCAUCGCCAAGUACAUGAUCAUGCUCAAAGUUGUCCGGGCGUAUUCGACGGACAAAAUGCUUUAGGGGGUGUCACAGCCUCUAGUGGAUCGGGCACAACUUCAUCCACAGCUACUGCAGAGGUCAACCGGUCUGCUGCUCAAUCAGGAGCACCACUUCCUCAGACCCAGAAUCCUCAAAGUGUUGCUGCUACUGUGCACCCUGGGCAAAAUGCCAUUCUUCAAGUGAAUAGCAGCUCUCAGCUUCCAGUUGUUGCUCCUGUUACUGUGCCAACUCCGGAGCAGUGGUAUCAACAACAACAAUAUCUGCAGUAUUAUCAGCAAUAUGUGGGCUAUGAUCCUUACCAACAGGCUAAUCAGCAAUAUUACCCACUUCAGCAACAGCCCAUUCAACAAUAUCAGCAGCAACCAAUGCAAGUUCAGGUUCCGCAACAAUCUCAUGUUUACGCCCAGGCCCUGCCACAACCCCACCCACAGAGCCAACCACAGCUCCAACAGCAUGCCCAGCUCCAGGCGCAAGCGCAGCCGCAGCCGCAGCCACAGUCUAAUCCUGUUCCUCAACCGCCAACACAUCUUCAGGUACAAGUCCAGGGGCAGGCUCAACCACAACCCCAUCCCCAGCCGCAACUGGCACCUCAAGCUCAACCCCAAGCCCAAGUCCUGCCUCAGACUCAGGCCCAUGUACAUGCGCCUGGCCAAGCUUUAGCGCCGAACUAUCAAGUCAAUCCCCAGCAACAAACUCAUCCUUCAAUGCGGCCCCAGACACAGACGCAGGUUCCCCCGCAGGCACCACCACCACCACCUCCCAACAGUCAGUCUACUCAACCCCCACCGUUUGCCCAAGGAGUAGGAGUGCGCCCCCCUGCCCAACAUCCUCAGGUGCCUCAAUUCCCACAACCUCAUGCGCAGAUGCAUCUACCUCAGGCAUCCCAAUCUCACGGGCAUUCUCAAAUGCAUCCCCAGCCCCAGGCCCAAUCCCAACCCCAACCCCAGCCCCAGCCCCAGCCCCAAUCCCAACCCCAACCCCAACCCCAGAAUCAAUCUUCAAACCAAUUGCAUGUGAAAAUUCAUCCACAAGCACAACCUUAUCAUUCCCAUUCCCAACCUCCUGUUUUCCCACCGCAAGCUAGCCAGUCCACAGCUCCUCCUGCCCUGCCGCAGGCACCACAUCCACCAAUCCCCCCUGUUAGCGGGCAUCAUUCCUAUCAACAACCUCAGCAACCCCAGAAAAUGCAUUCAGGAGCAUCACAUCAACAUCCAGUUCAACCACAAGCGGCAAGUGGGUCCUUACAUGCAGUUCAUGUACACGGUCAAGCCCCACAACAAUCUGGAGUUAUGCGACCGCCCCAUUCUCACGGUUCAAUUCCUCAGCAACAGGCAUCAACGCUAUUGCCACAACAAAAUCAGGUCCCUGGUGUUCCUGCCGCACAGCAUCAGCAGUUUCCACCUCAUGUGCAACCACCAUCUCAUCCACAUCCACAUUCACAUCCACAUCGUCCUGUCAUGCAGCCAGUUCAACAAUCUGUGCCUCAGCAAUAUGCUCAGCAACAAAAUUUUCUUGUUCCCUUUCAAGGUCAAUGGCAUCAGCAAGGUCAUUUCCCACAGCAACAACCUAUGCAACCCCAACUUCGCUCUUCGGGGCCCCCUCCACCCCAGCAGCCUCAAAAUUAUGUUGGGAGACCAAUGAUGAUGAACCAGGGGAUGCAUCCACAAAACCAUCCUUUGUCUACUGGUGUUUUCCCUCCUCAUCCUGGACCUGUGCAACUCACAUCAACUCAGGCAGCUUUAAAUCAAAAUUAUGCCAUGUCUACCGUGAUGGAGCAGAAUGCAAAUGGCCAAGAAACUGGGUCACCUCCAAAGGAACUAGUUGAAAAGGGUUUUGAAGGGGAUCCCCCGAAAGAGGAGAUCGUCAAAGGACAAAGUAGAAUAGUUACCAAGGAUGCUGAUAAUUGUGAGGGGGGUGAUUUAAUUAAUUCUGUCGUCAAGCAAGAAGACAAUGUGCGGGGUUCUUUGGACCGAGCAUCUGGGGGAAAAUCUUUUGAAGCUGGAGCUGCAGAACAUGAAUUCUGUAAACAAGAGGGUCAUCCACUGACAAAUUCUGAUUCAUUGAAACCAGUGGAGCCGGAGAAUGAGAAAAUGAUUGUAUCAAAUACAGUGGUUUCAGGUCCAUCCUUGGCAAAUUUUGAGAAGCAAUCUCAAACUGCCUCUGCUACUGCUACAGAAGGGCAUGUACUACCACCAAAAUCUCAUGGUUCUCAUCAGCAAGGGCCUCAAGAACGAGUGCAGGGACCGCCUCCAUCGUUACUAGGAGCUCAAGGACCUGUCAGUUUGCCUCAUCCUGGGAAAUGUCUCAACUCAAAUGAAGGAAGGGGCACUGGUUAUGUUGGCCCUCCUCCAAAAAGCUUUGAUUCUCAAUCUACUACUCAAGGACCGGGACCGAGUACUCUAGCUGAUUCACGUGGGAUAACGGGACGUGCUCCACCAGCCCGCUUUGAGGUUCAGUUUGGUACCCAGCAUGUUGAUAGGACGAAUGAAGUUUCCAUGCCAAAAGAUCAGAUGCCAGGCUCCUUGCACCUGUCAGGCCCUGUUGGGGACGACCCUCUCAUGAUAACUCGUGGAGAAGAGCCAAGUAUUUUGAGGAUGAAUGGGGGAACAGCUCUUGACUCCUCCAUGAUCGGCUCUAGGGAUGAAAAAUUGAAGUCCUUUUCUAGGGAGCAUUUGGAUCCGUUUCCUGGAGAGCGAACUCGCCCUCUUGACCAAGCUCCGAUUUAUCUUGAUAAAGGGCCUCAUGGGCAAGGUUAUGAUGGUGGGUCAAAGUUGGAUCCUGGUGCGUCAGCUUCAUAUUCAAGGUUCAUACCUUCACAUCAUCCAUCCGGCCCUGGUCGGCUGGACAUGCAUGGACCAGCCCAUGAAUUUGACCAGCAUCACAUGAAGCAUUUUGCUCGCCGAAGUCCCAACAGGGAGUAUGUUGGCUCUUCUCCACAUGGAUUUGGUGGCCCAUCCAGUUAUGCUCGUGUAACAUCAGCUUUCGAUGAUGUUAAUUCCAGGAGUGUGCAUAGAUAUGGUGAAGGAUCAAGGUCUUACAGUCUUUCUUCUGAUCCAGUUGGGAAUCCUUUUCGUGAUGGCAGGUUCCCCCCCAUGUCUCGUCAUCCAAGAAGAGAUGACAUUGUUGGCCCUCGAUAUCCUAGAUUUGGUGGGCAUAUGUCUCCUGGCCAGAUCCAGAACCCUAUUGGGAGUGAUGAUGUUUUUGGACCAGAAGGGGCUGGCCAUUUUGUUGGUGGGAAGUUUUUGGAUCCAGCAUAUUUGCCUGGUCAUUUUGAUAUGGCUGAUUCAGCAUCUGGUGCCUUCCCUGGUCAUGGUCGUCCUGGGGAAGUGGGUGGUCCUGGGAACUUCCCUCUUCCUUUUACUGAACCUGUUAGAGGCGAUAGACAGAGUUUCCCGCAUUUCGGGGAGCCUGCAAUGAGGACCAGCUAUUCAGUCCCUGGUUUCCCUGGUGCUGGAAAUUUUGCUGGUGGUAUGGAUUCCUUCAAUCAAUCUAGGAAGAGGAAGCCUGUAAGCACUGGAUGGUGCCGGAUUUGUGAGUUCGACUGUGAAACGGUUGAAGGUCUUGAUAUGCACUCACAAACCAGGGAGCACCAAAAGAUGGCCAUGGAUAUGGUCAAAACUAUCAAGCUGCAGAACAACAAGAAGCAGAGAAAUGCUGCUGGCCAUAUGGUGCAUGAAGGGGGGAGCAGAAGUAGGAAAGCGGGUAUUGUUGGCCGUGGAGGCAAGCCUUGACUGGUAGAUGUGAUUAUUGGGAAUCGAUUUCAGGUGGCUGCCCUGUUUCUGAAGAUGUUUUUGGGAUGAAGUAUUGUUGGCAGUUAGAUCAUUUCAAUUCAACCUGUCUUUCUUCGGGAAGCAGAAGAGAAAAAAAGGCUGAAUUAAGGAUGGUUGCUCGCUUUCCAACAGGGUAAGGAUAUGGUUGGUGCACCGAGUUUGUUUGAUAGCAUUUUUGUCUUGAUAUAUUGUGCUUAUUAUAUACCUUAAUCUUCUGUUACCUUACUCAUCUCUUAAUCCCUCAGGUUCUGGGUAGUUUCCUGUAGUGGUCUUUAAAUACAGUCCCUACUUUUUAGUUGCAUCUUCUAUUUCUAUUUUCUGUAAAUCUGAAACCUCGUGAACAGAUGUUUGUCUACAGAAAAUGAACUUUUGAACUGAGAUCAAGCUGAGCAAAGUGGAAAUCUAGGGAUUAGAGAGAACCCAUCAGAUUCAACUUGCAGAAUGUAGUGUCAUCUCUUAGGUUACAAACAAUUUUAUCUCUGAAAAACUAAAGAGAAUUGGUUAUUGGUAAUUCAAGAUUGAAUUGUUCAACUAAGUUCUAUGAAAUGGAGAAACUUUGUCCAACAGAAAUACAUGGAUGGAUAACAAGGAGAACAAUAAUUGAAACCCAUUUGACUUUGGUCAUCAAUUUGGAAUUUUUUUUAGGAAAUUAUUAUUUUCUUCAAUUGAUAUUAUACGGCCCAACCAUUAUUAGAGCUUUGACUUGAGCACUUGGUUUAAUUGUAUUUCUGGCCAUUCAACAAGGCUGACAACUAGCCUUCCUAUCACUAUUCGAGUCUUAUGCUUUGGCCCUUCAAUUGUUUGAACAUGAAAUUCUCAUGCAUUUUGCUUUUUAUGAACUGGGGGGUUGAAACACUUCUUUGAAUGUGCCGUCGGUUAUACAGUGGAAGGUUCGAUUCUUGUAAUGUGGCUGUAACAAUGAUUCUUGUGGCUGCCUUUUGAUUACUGCUGCCUUCAAUAAACUGGAAUCAGUCACCACUAAAUGUGGAUCAUCUGUAACACAUUCAGUCUGGAUAUUUAUCUUUGACCCUUUAUUUAGUAUUUAUACAACCUAGGGAACCUAUGUCUUGUAUGGCCUGGGUGCCUACAUCCUAUAUGUUUUUUGCUUUUCCAUUAAGCUAGUGUUCACUUUAGAGGUUUUACGGCAAAGUUUUUAUGUCAGAAAAAUGUGGAAAUGCUUUUUGUUUCUGCCCAUCCCUGCUUCAAUGGUUUUCCACAUUCAUAUCGAUAGUGUCUGAUUUACAAGAGAAGGUUUCACUUUUGUGUUAUUUCAACGAGGUAAGGAUAUGAUUUCAGAAUGAUCUUUGACAUUCAGAAUCCAGAGAGAUCGCAAACUUAUUCUAGGCUCUUAUUAAUGAAGUGUUUUUGCUCCAAGCAGUUAAUGGAGUUCUCGCGAGUUAAAUUUAGAUGGGCAUGGACUACAGAGAAAUUACAUGCAUCUUAUUGUGUAAUUUUUCAAUUCAUGGGGAGUUUGUGUCAAUCUUUUUUUAGGCGUAACUACAGUCCCGUCUCCCGAGGUUUGUGUAAUUUUUUAAACCACAAGGGUUCAGGGGUUCUACGUGUAAUUACACCAAACCUCAGGGGAGGAAGGGAGGGGACUGUAGUUAUCCCUUUUUCUAUGAUUUAGUUAGAUGAAUUGAUAACAUAAAUAAAUUAGUAAGAAUUAAGAAGAAAAGGAAAAAUCUGAAACAUGUGGCCUUUUCGCCUUAAGUUAAGUCCUAAGGUUAAUUUUGGAAAUUACCGGGGUUCUUGGAUUGUUGGUACAAACUCGCUACAUCACUGGAAACUUAUUCUUUCAGUUAACUGCUGUGUUAUAUCUGACAUUGAUAGGAUUUCUGCUGUUGGAUCUUUUUUAUUUUGGGUGGGGUGGGGUGAUUAGUUUUCUAUUCUACUUUAGAUUGACUUUUUGUUAAUCUUUGGGGCUCAACUCUCACUUUAUUUGGAUUAACUUUGACACCAUGAAUGGAUGACUUUGUCUAGGAGGUCUUACGUUGGGAAAUUAAUAAGUUGUGUUGUAAUUUAGCUUCAGGUGGAUCAAUUUCAUCGCUAGAGAAUGAGGAUGUCCACACAGUAUGAUAGGUGAAUGGUAAUUAAAGAUCCGAUUGUUUUGUUUGUGGGUGUCGUGUGGAGUUUACAAUUUUUUAAAUUACAAUCUCAAUGGGUUCUCGCAAUCGUGUUCUAUUGUACUUGCAACCUUCCUUGACAUUUUGUAUGUUUAUGCUUUCAAUAUUGUGAAACAGUGUGCUAUCACUAUUCUAAGAAUUUAGCCAUGUGCAGGGUCUAUAAUCCAGAAAAACUUUAUAGAGGAUAUGCCUAGUUACCAAAAAUAUUUUGACAGCAUUUUUUUGGGUAGAAAAGAUGUCGGACGCCUUUUUGUUUAGGCGAUAAUCAACCAUGAGGGAAUGAAUGUGGAUCCUUGUCUCUCAGUGCAUGGAUCCUUCAUAAUUUUAUAUUAGGUCCAUUUACAGACCUGAAACUUACUAAGGGGAAUUUGCUAAGUUUAGCUAAAACAUACAAAUAGCUUAGCGAGCAUUUAAGCCACGACAGCCUUUCAGAAACAUAGGAAAUUCAUUACAUUGACAUAGAGGACACCCAAUGGGCUCAAUGGCAUGGUAAGAGUCCCGCCAAAUGCAAGAGGUGCCGGAAAUUCAUAAGGAAAUUAGAUGAAUAUUAUUUAGGAUGGUUAUUGUCACCAAUCAAAGAAGUAUCAUCUUCAAAAUGAAAGUAUGGCGUUGGAUGGAUAAACAUUGAUUCGCGAUGAUUGGAAGAAUGUUUAUAUUUAAUGCUCUAAUGUUCUGUCAAGUGGUUCGUUUUGUUUGGAAUGGGCUUUGUAGGACUACUUUGCAGAGUCAUUUCAUUGUUGAACUUUUGGAGUCGCAGUUGGCAGACAAACCAUUAUGGCUGUGGACUUGAUAGGGCUGUGUCCCUGGUUUUGAUGAAUAGGGUUUUUGUUAAUCUUGUUGUGCUUAUGUGAUAAAGCUGUAUUUAUUUUAUUAUUCGGGUGCCUGGAGUUGUAAAAUUGAAGCUAACUUUUAUAUCAUUAAACGUACUUAUUGGCUACUGUA
Molecule: RNA transcript, 7517 nt
Organism: Sesamum indicum (sesame)
Lineage: Eukaryota; Viridiplantae; Streptophyta; Magnoliopsida; Lamiales; Pedaliaceae
Source: RefSeq, a predicted model, not a curated record